UGGGCAACGGUAGGUCAGCAUGCCCCGAAUUAUCUGGGCUACACGCGGGCUACAAUGGGUGGGACAAUGGGUAUCGACACCGAAAGGUGAAGGCAAUCUCCUAAACCCAUCCUUAGUUCGGAUUGUGGGCUGCAACUCGCCCACAUGAAGCUGGAAUCUGUAGUAAUCGUGUUUCAAAAUAGCACGGUGAAUACGUCCCUGCUCCUU
RNAcentral lists this ribosomal RNA (207 nucleotides) under uncultured Methanomicrobiales archaeon. Its description in RNAcentral is "partial 16S ribosomal RNA". It matches the Rfam family "Archaeal small subunit ribosomal RNA", at positions 1132 to 1338 of the family's 1478-position model. Lineage: Archaea; Methanobacteriati; Methanobacteriota; Methanomicrobia; Methanomicrobiales. The record is from RNAcentral.